Molecule: ribosomal RNA, 873 nt
Filed under: Clostridioides difficile
Lineage: Bacteria; Bacillati; Bacillota; Clostridia; Peptostreptococcales; Peptostreptococcaceae
Description: partial 23S ribosomal RNA
Rfam family: Bacterial large subunit ribosomal RNA
Source: RNAcentral
GGGACACGUGAAACCCUGUGGGAAGCAGGAGGGACCACCCUCCAAGGCUAAAUACUACCUAGUGACCGAUAGCGUAUAGUACCGUGAGGGAAAGGUGAAAAGAACCCCGGGAGGGGAGUGAAAUAGAACCUGAAACCCUGCACUUACAAGCUGUGGAAGCACAUUUCUUGUGUGACCGCGUACUUUUUGUAGAACGGGCCAACGAGUUACGUUAAGUAGCAAGGUUAAGCACUUAAGGUGUGGAGCCGUAGCGAAAGCGAGUUUUAACUGAGCGUUCAGUUACUUGACGUAGACCCGAAACCGGGCGACCUACCCAUGAGCAGGAUGAAGCGAAAGUAAAAUUUCGUGGAGGUCCGAACCCACGAGCGUUGAAAAGCUCGGGGAUGACUUGUGGGUAGCGGUGAAAUUCCAAUCGAGCCCGGAGAUAGCUGGUUCUCCCCGAAAUAGCUUUAGGGCUAGCCUCAAGGUGAGAGAUACGGAGGUAGAGCACUGAAUGUCCUAGGGGGUAUUGCACCUACCGAAGACUAUCAAACUCCGAAUGCCGUCAUCUUAUACUUGGGAGUCAGACUGUGGGUGAUAAGAUUCAUAGUCGAAAGGGCAACAGCCCAGAUCGUCAGCUAAGGUCCCUAAAUGUAAGUUAAGUGGUAAAGGAUGUGGGAUUGCACAGACAACCAGGAUGUUGGCUUAGAAGCAGCCACUCAUUCAAAGAGUGCGUAAUAGCUCACUGGUCGAGUGAUCCUGCGCCGAAGAUUUCCGGGGCUAAAACUUACUACCGAAGCUACGGCAUCAGUAAUGAUGGGUAGGGGAGCUUCCCAUACGGGUUGAAGCAUGACCGUAAGGACAUGUGGACAGUAUGGGAGUGAGAAUGUUGGC